Molecule: long non-coding RNA, 1521 nt
Filed under: Bemisia tabaci
Lineage: Eukaryota; Metazoa; Arthropoda; Insecta; Hemiptera; Aleyrodidae
Description: lncRNA ENSSSA1UGG007512
Source: RNAcentral
CGUUGACGGGAGAACCUUCUUCGGGUAUAAUAGCCGAAUCAUUAUCUGUAGAUGUUUUAAUAUUGUGGAUCCGCAGAUGCAAUCGACAUACAGGAGCCAGUUGAUCAGCAUGGUUCGCGAGGCGGUGAGGCAGUGCAGUCUCGUUGGGGCUGGGUCAUCGAAUCACGAUCCGGGGGUUGCGUCCCAGACUUGCAGUCAGGCCUUCACUAUCCUUGACAGUUACGAGAACAAUAUUUGCCGCGGAUAUUUGAACCAGCCCAAAUGUCGUCCCAUGCCACAGGAGAUGGGCUACCAGUGCACCGUCCAGAUCCAUAAUGAUGGUUUAUUAAUGAGGAUGUUCGGCGGCACAGCAAGAAAAUUCGCAACCAUUGAGGAUUGCGUGCCGGACCUCAUCGCCGCGGAUCAGACCCAGUUGACUUCUAUUUCGACCCCGCCCCUGCAGACUGUGGCGGCUUCCAGCUCGAACCCACAACGGCGCGACAAAGGCAAGGAAGCCUUGGGAUUCCCUGGUCGGAGACAAAGUUUUGGAGGCGGAAGCGGUGCUGACCCUUCUUACGGAGGAUCUUCUCCCUUCUAUCCUUUUCACAGCGGAGGAUAUCCUCAACCUGCAGGAACUUCCCACUUCGAUUCUUUUUCCAUGGGAGGAUAUCCUCAACCUACAGGAACUUCACACUUCGAUUCUUUAUCCAUUGCAGGAUAUCCUCAACUUUCAGGAACAUCAAACUUCGACCCUUUCGGGUUUUUGAGGCAGACACAAACUACCGCAGGUGCUGGUGGUUCUAGUGGUGGAAAUCCUUUCCAAACAGGAGGCCAUCUUCAUCCUUCAGGCUCCUCGCAUUCCAUGCGGCCUCCACUUCCUAGAAGCCCACCACGCGGCACAAGACCCUCAGUGCGUGUUCCACCUUCAUCCCGCGGCGCAGAUCCAUCACACGGUCGGAGGUCGCCUCCACGGUGGGAUGAUUCACUCCCCGGCACUCCGCGACUUGCUUCAGAGCCUCCGGCCGAUCUAGAUCCUACCUUCCUCAUAGAUCCUCUCUUCGGUGUUAGUGAUUACACAACUCAAUCACCUAGUCGAGUCUCCUGUUUCCUUACGGAUCUUUCAUUUCUCGGGACUCCACAACAAGCUCCUCCACAGGAUGUAGAUUCUGACCUCGACAUGGAUUCUCAAUUUGGUAUAAGUGCUUACGGAUACGGCGAUGACAAUUCUGAUUCUGAUUCUGAUUCUGAGUCAGGGUCAGAACACGAAGAAGAGAAUACACCUCCAUCUUCAGGAGGUUCCAAGACCGCGGGCGCCGCAGGUGGUUCAGGUAAGUCAAGUUUUCUGAAGUUAGUAACGCUCGGUUUCUUCCAUUUGAGGAAAAGGCCCUGGUGCAAGCUUCUGCGCGCAGAUUGUUCCAAUUGAUAGACAAAGCGAUAGACAAAGAUGAAAUACGGAGUAUGGAACCAUCCUUUUGCUUGAAAUGGGUGGUUUUGUAUACACUAGGGGAGUCAAUGGUGGACUAACUAUGAGGUCGCUGGUGG